AAUCCUUAUUCUAAACUUAAUUGCAAACUAACUAUUCUCCUUGUCAUCUUGUCCAAUAAUCCAUCCAAUAGUUAUGGAACUUGUAUCAACUAUGACUAUUACAAAUCUUCUAUAAUUAUAAUCUAUUUGUCUUAACACUAGUAAUGAUUUCAAAACCACCUUUAAUCCAUCCAUGGCCAACUCUUAUUCCUCACCUUAUGCAAACUUCUUUUCUUUUUUCAAUAACCAAUACAAAGGCUCCACAAUAUGAAUAUAAUAGAGAAUCCAUAUAUGAUAAAAUACACAAGCAUCCAAAAAUCUUCUUAUCUUGGUGGUGUUCCUUCAUCUUUAUUAUGGCAUUUAUCUUAUCUAAGUUUUAUUUCUUUUUAUAGCUUUUUUAUAAAUAAUUUUAUCUCUUUAAGUCAAAUCUUUAGCCUCUUCUUUGCAAUCCUUAAUUGAAACAUCAUUUAAAAAGCAUAUAGUCUUCUCA
Molecule: long non-coding RNA, 469 nt
Filed under: Physcomitrium patens
Lineage: Eukaryota; Viridiplantae; Streptophyta; Bryopsida; Funariales; Funariaceae
Description: long non-coding RNA (PPAT_LNC006771)
Source: RNAcentral